UAGAGUUUGAUCCUUGCUCAGAUUGAACGCUGGCGGCAUGCUUUACACAUGCAAGUCGAACGGUAACAGGUCUUCGGAUGCUGACGAGUGGCGAACGGGUGAGUUAUACAUCGGAACGUGCCUAGUAGUGGGGGGUAACUACUCGAAAGAGUAGCUAAUACAGCAUGAGAUCUACGGAUGAAAGCAGGGGGCCUUCGGGGCUUGUGCUACUAGAGCGGCUGAUGGCAGAAUAAGUAGUUGGUGGGGGAAAGGCUUACCAAGCCUGCGAUCUGUAGCUGGUCUGAGAGGACGACCAGCCACACUGGGACUGAGACACGGCCCAGACUCCUACGGGAGGGAGCAGUGGGGAAUUUUUGACAAUGGGCGAAAGCUUGAUCCAGCAAUGCCGCGUGCAGGAUGAAGGGCCUCGGGUUGUAAAAUGCUUUUUUACGGAACGAAAAACCUGGGGCUAAUAUUCCCGGGUCAUGACGGUACCGUAAGAAUAAGCACCGGCUAACUACGUGCCAACAGCCGCGGUAAUAAGUAAGGUGCAAGCGUUAAUCGGAAUUACUUGGCGUAAAGCGUGCGCACGCGGUUUUUUUAGAAAAUUGUGAAAUCCCCGGGCUCAACCUGGGAACUGCCAUUGUGACUUCAAAGCUAAAGUUCGGCAGAAGGGGAUGGAAUUCCGCGUGUUGCAGUUAAAAGCGUAGAUAUUCGGAGGAACACCCAUGGCGAAGGCAAUCCCCUUGGGCCUGCACUGAAGCUCAUGCACGAAAAAGUGGGGGGCAAACAAGAUUUUAUACCCUUGUAAUCCACGCCCUAAACGAUGUCAACUGGUUGUUGGGUGUUAACUUACUCA
Molecule: ribosomal RNA, 838 nt
Filed under: Comamonas sp. PJ913
Lineage: Bacteria; Pseudomonadati; Pseudomonadota; Betaproteobacteria; Burkholderiales; Comamonadaceae
Description: bacterial SSU rRNA
Rfam family: Bacterial small subunit ribosomal RNA
Source: RNAcentral